This 491-nucleotide ribosomal RNA is filed under the name uncultured bacterium. Its description in RNAcentral is "partial 16S ribosomal RNA". It matches the Rfam family "Bacterial small subunit ribosomal RNA", at positions 29 to 507 of the family's 1533-position model. The record is from RNAcentral.
AGUGAACGCUGGCGGUAGGCCUAACACAUGCAAGUCGAACGGCAGCACAGUAAGAGCUUGCUCUUACGGGUGGCGAGUGGCGGACGGGUGAGGAAUACAUCGGAAUCUACUUUUUCGUGGGGGAUAACGUAGGGAAACUUACGCUAAUACCGCAUACGACCUACGGGUGAAAGCAGGGGAUCUUCGGACCUUGCGCGAUUGAAUGAGCCGAUGUCGGAUUAGCUAGUUGGCGGGGUAAAGGCCCACCAAGGCGACGAUCCGUAGCUGGUCUGAGAGGAUGAUCAGCCACACUGGAACUGAGACACGGUCCAGACUCCUACGGGAGGCAGCAGUGGGGAAUAUUGGACAAUGGGCGCAAGCCUGAUCCAGCCACACCGCGUGGGUGAAGAAGGCCUUCGGGUUGUAAAGCCCUUUGUUGGGAAAGAAAAGCAGCAGGUUAAUACCCCGCUGUUCUGACGGUACCCAAAGAAUAAGCACCGGCUAACUUCGUG